Molecule: long non-coding RNA, 3927 nt
Filed under: Canis lupus familiaris (dog)
Lineage: Eukaryota; Metazoa; Chordata; Mammalia; Carnivora; Canidae
Description: lncRNA (ENSCAFG00040019804.1)
Source: RNAcentral
AUGCAGAGUAAUACUCCAGCUGUCUCGGGAACACGCCGGCCUGACGGGCUGAGGCAGGAUGGAAGUUUCUGCCCCAGCACGGGAGCCAGGCCCAACCCCCCCAUGCUGUUUGUGUUCUCACUGAGCCUGCUUCAGCGAGGUGAGGACUGGUUCAGAGGAAGAGCUGACAAAAAUAAAACCAGAGCGAUGAAGUGCUGUGCAGGAAGUGGCAGGCUGUGGAGCGGUGCAGAGCACAGCAUCGUUGCAGGUGAAAGACAAGGCCUCCAGGAAGAAGGUGAAAUCUUACUGUAAGAGAUAACACACCCAAAAAAAAUUAAAAAAAAAAAAAAAAGAGAUAACACACCCACUACACACAAUAUACUACACCCAAACACCCACACAUACACCACACAACACAUACACACAGCAUGCACAACACAUACAUGUGUACCAUACACACAUACACAUACCACACACACAUGCACAGGCCACACACACAUACACAUACUAUACACACCACAAACAAUACACUACACACAUAGACCACACACAUGCACACACCACACACACACACACACACCACAGACAUACACACAAUAUACUGCACACAGUAUACUACACACACACCACACACAUAUACACACUAUACAACACAUACUACACAUACCACGCACACAACACAUACACACCACAAACACAUAGAUGCUAAGUUUAAGGCAUUUAUGAAUCAACAACUCUGUAUUUCACAGUUCUUCCUUUGGCUGUUCCCUAAUUGGAAACAGAUUGCCUUUCCCCCUGUUUAUGGGGCAGAGUUCCUCUAAAUGUGGGUCUAUUCAUGGUGAUUUUGUUUCCUUUCCUCAGUCAACAGUCACUCGACACCAUUACCCGGGUGUUCUCUGCAGCUCUGUCCUUUUAUUAGUUCAUAAAUCUAGGAACUGGGGGAAAGUUUACAAAAUUUCAUGAAGACUCCACCAUUUAUUGAGUGACUACUGUGCCUGGCACACUCCCUGGGGUCUGAGCCUCAUCACACCCUGCAAGAUACUCCUAUUAUUCUCUACACAAAAGAUAAGGAAAUUUAGGCUCAAAAAGAUCAAAAAUUGCCUAAGACCUCACAAGAAGUAAGGGGCAGGAUUUGGAAUUAAGUGACCUAUUAGCCUGAGCUGCUUCCACUGCCCACUGCCUCCUGGCAACAUAAAACCCGAUUUACUCUUGAGGAGUCCCAAUCCACUGUCCUGAAUACCACCCAGGCUAUUCCCCUGCCGAGUUUCUACUUGGGCUUCCUUUUGGCCCAAGCUCCCUCUUCUCCCUUCUGACCUCUUCCCUCUUGGGAGCCACAGGCUUUGCCCAUUUGGAGCUGUGCCCUGCAGGCAGAAGGCCGGAGGCCUCUACUUCCCUUGCCCCCACCAGCAUGGCCAACACAAACUUCUCACUGGAAAACACUGUGUCCUGUAGACAACGGCUCUGUGUGAAGUUCUAGUACCUGCCUGACAGGUCUUCUGUGAAAAGACCCAGCUGGGGUAGCUGGGCUGCCAGGCCUAAGACAGGCAGAGUUCAUAAAUAGCUUCGUCAGCCAUGGAGCUGAGGCUGGGCUGGAGCCAAGUGCUGCCUGCCUCAGUGGUCUUGGCCAACCAGAGCCCUUUUCUGAGAAACCAGAAUUUUCAGGAGCUGUGGGUAGAGGGGCUUCACAACAGAAAAUUGGUUGGAUUCAGGCAUUCCCAGGUUUAAAUCCCAGCUCUACCACCUUCUACUUGUGUGACUUUAGGAAAGUAGCUUCUGCUGGCAGCUCCUCAGCCCUGUGGGAGAGUUCCUGGUUCGAUUUAACAAAUUUUAUUGAACACCCCAUGACAUCCUGUACUGUUUUAAGACUCAGGGUACAAAGAUAAGCAUAGGCCCUGCCCUUAAGGAGCUCACAGACUAGACCAGUAGGGAUGAUAAGACCUAUAAAAAUAAGUAUCAUAUGCAGUUGGAAGUGAUAAGUGUAUUAGGAGGGGUAUAGAUAAAACCAUGAAGGUUGAGAGCAGAAAGAGGGUGAUUCUGGGGUGGGAGGGAGGUAAAGCUGUGGCCAAUCCAUAAGGGGUCUUGAGUGAUAGUUUGGACUUUGUAGUGCCAGGCUGUUGGGAACCAAUUAAAGGCUUCUGACCACAGCAGUGGACAGAUCAGAGCCAUGGGGGCUGGAGCCUUUUUUUCGACCUCCGCCACCAGACCGUGGCAUUUCUAAAAGGGAAAGACUCAGGUUCCACCAUUUUAAAAGGGCUUUGUUCUCUGAACGAAAUAGUUUAGGACUUGAAACAUGCAGUGGUCAAAAGGUGUCCUCUAUUCUUUGUACUGUGACCCAAUGCCCACCAUCUCUCUCCUCUGGGCCUUCUCAGCCAGCCAUCUCCUUGUGUUAAAGAUGUGAGAUUGAGGCAUAUGGGGCCAGAGGCAGGCACCCAGCUCAGGGAAAUUGUCCUGGCUUGACAAACCGAGUGCCCUGGGACCUUUGCUGCCCUGCCAGUUUGUCUUGGCCCAGCUCACAGGCUUCUGGGAAGAAGUUGGCCUGUUGAGGAAAGGAUGUGUCAGUGAGUUGUAGUUGGCUUAAUUUCCCUGAGGUGUGUGUGUGUGUGUAUGUGUGUGCACACAUAUGUGCAUAUGUACUCAGGACUAGGUGUUUUGCAGAAAAUUUCAAUUUAGGUCAGAACUAAGCAGCCCUUAGUACAUCAAUAUCCAGAGAAGAUAAGCCUGAACAGUCCUCUCCAGGAAUGAACAGCAAUAAACUAGGCCUCCUGAUUGUAAACACAACAGUUUACCAAGCUCUCUAUUAGCAGAAGGGAUCCAGGUGGGUUGUGCAUUUGGUUGAGCCUUCUGGAGAGGCAAGGGGUCCAGAUGGGUUGUGGGUUUGGUUGAACCUCCUGGAGAGGCAAGGGUCUGCAGUGCGGCCUGUACUUUAGGCCCACUGUGUUUAAAAACACAGAAGAGGCAAUGGUGAGUUCUGCCCCAGUCAAGCUCCUGCCACUUGGCCCAUCAAAAAAAAAGCAUGCCCACAGCUGAACCCGACAGGGCCACGGAGAUGAGGAAGACCCAGGUUUCUGUGCUGUUUCUGCCACUCAGCUACCAUGUGACCUUGACCAAGUCACCUUGUCUCAUCAGCAUCUGUUUCCUCAUCUGUAAAAUGCAACUAAGGCUCUUAUCGAUGUGCAAACCAGGAAGAAAAUCCCAAAACACUUCUGAGUAAUCAAAAGAAAUUGCUCCAACUGUCAGUCUACCUUAUAUUCUUUACUCAGGGAAAAGCCCUUUAGAGCUCCUCCAAGAGCCUGUGUUUUCUGAAGUUUACAUAUAAUGAAAAUAUGUUUGGUUUUCUGGCUUCCUGGCCUACCACAGAUGACAAACAAUUGAUUAGCAGGGGUUGGUCCGCUAGAGAUAGACAUACUGAUGACUGACAAAAACAUAGAAGGCAACCAAGAGAGCGAGGAAGGAGAAAGAAAAAUUGUAGGGCAGAAACAAGAUCUUUAAAAGCAACACAAGCCAUUUAGUACUAUGGUAAACACUUUUACAUGUGUCAAUAGCUCCAAAGGCCCUCAUGCCUAGAGCCUAGUGUGAUAAUUGUUACUUACAAGCAGGGCUUUAUAGGCUAUUAUUUUAGAAAAAUUUCCUUCCAAAUAUUUUAAAUAAAUAAAGUUUUGAUGCUUAAAAAGAACACUCUUGGGACACCUGGGUGGCUCAGGGUUAAGCAUCUGCCUUCAGCCCAGGGCAUGAUCCUGGAGUCCCGGGAUCAAGUCUCACAUCAGGCUCCCUGCAUGGAGCCUGCUUCUCCUUCUACCUAUGUCUCUGCCUCUCUCUCUCUCUCUGUUUGUCUCUCAUGAAUAAAUAAAUAAAAUCUUUAAAAAAAAAAGAACACUCUUUGAUAUUCUGAACAUUCAGACAUGAGUAAAGAUGUACAUUAAUCCAGGAGUGCUCUGGAGGGUACAGUCA